Mauremys mutica (yellowpond turtle) is the source of this 270-nucleotide long non-coding RNA. RefSeq lists it as uncharacterized. NCBI's taxonomy places the organism in Eukaryota, Metazoa, Chordata, Testudines, Geoemydidae. The transcript has 3 exons. The record is from RefSeq and is a predicted model, not a curated record.
GGAAAAGGGCAGGACUGGUGGAGAGCUGGGGAAAUCCUGGGACCCAGGCAGCCCGCUUCCUGCUUGAGGAGGAUCCCUGCCAGCAGACAGCAGCCCCUCUGCAAUGACUGAGGAAUCCAGCAUCAUCUUUGAACCUGAGGAUCAUUCAUGGAGUUUAGUAAUUAACACGUGAGCUUGGGAGGGCACCACUUGCCCGUUACCUGGUCACGGUCGCCUGCAAAACAACAGCUCUUCAUGGUACACGAGUUGAAGUAACCUUGGUUGUCAAAU